RNAcentral lists this ribosomal RNA (326 nucleotides) under uncultured Bacteroidota bacterium. Its description in RNAcentral is "bacterial SSU rRNA". It matches the Rfam family "Bacterial small subunit ribosomal RNA", at positions 28 to 351 of the family's 1533-position model. Lineage: Bacteria; Pseudomonadati; Bacteroidota. The record is from RNAcentral.
GAUGAACGCUAGCGGCAGGCCUAACACAUGCAAGUCGAGGGGCAGCAGACCAUUUCGGUGGUGCUGGCGACCGGCGCACGGGUGAGUAUCGCGUUUGUAACCUACCCUUAACUGGGGGAUAGCCCGGAGAAAUUCGGAUUAAUACCCCAUAAUAUUUAAGCACGGCAUCGUGCUUUCAUUAAAGCUCCGGCGGUUAAGGAUGGGCAUGCGUGACAUUAGUUUGUUGGUGAGGUAAUGGCUCACCAAGACUACGAUGUCUAGGGGGUCUGAGAGGAUGAUCCCCCACACUGGUACUGAGACACGGACCAGACUCCUACGGGUGGCUG